UGGGGAAUUUUGGACAAUGGGCGAAAGCCUGAUCCAGCAAUGCCGCGUGUGUGAAGAAGGCCUUCGGGUUGUAAAGCACUUUUGUCCGGAAAGAAAUCCUUGGCUCUAAUACAGUCGGGGGAUGACGGUACCGGAAGAAUAAGCACCGGCUAACUACGUGCCAGCAGCCGCGGUAAUACGUAGGGUGCAAGCGUUAAUCGGAAUUACUGGGCGUAAAGCUGCGCAGGCGGUUUGCUAAGACCGAUGUGAAAUCCCCGGGCUCAACCUGGGAACUGCAUUGGUGACUGGCAGGCUAGAGUAUGGCAGAGGGGGGUAGAAUUCCACGUGUAGCAGUGAAAUGCGUAGAGAUGUGGAGGAAUACCGAUGGCGAAGGCAGCCCCCUGGGCCAAUACUGACGCUCAUGCACGAAAGCGUGGGGAGCAAACAGGAUUAGAUACCCUGGUAGUCCACGCCCUAAACGAUGUCAACUAGUUGUUGGGGAUUCAUUUCCUUAGUAACGUAGCUAACGCGUGAAGUUGACCGCCUGGGGGAGUACGGUCGCAAGAUUAAAACUCAAAGGAAUUGACGGGGUCAUAGCUGUUUCCU
RNAcentral lists this ribosomal RNA (585 nucleotides) under uncultured bacterium. RNAcentral describes it as "partial 16S ribosomal RNA". It matches the Rfam family "Bacterial small subunit ribosomal RNA", at positions 355 to 1375 of the family's 1533-position model. The record is from RNAcentral.